This 915-nucleotide ribosomal RNA is filed under the name uncultured archaeon. Its description in RNAcentral is "bacterial SSU rRNA". It matches the Rfam family "Archaeal small subunit ribosomal RNA", at positions 1 to 922 of the family's 1478-position model. The record is from RNAcentral.
UUCCGGUUGAUCCUGCCGGAGGCCACUGCUAUUGGGAUCCGACUAAGCCAUGCGAGUCGAGAGGGUUCGGCCCUCGGCAGACUGCUCAGUAACACGUGGAUAACCUAACCUUAGGUGGAAGAUAACCUCGGGAAACUGAGAAUAAUAUUCCAUAGAUCUAGGAUGCUGGAAUGCAUCUAGAUUGAAAGUUCCGACGCCUAAGGAUGGGUCUGCGGACUAUCAGGUUGUAGUCAGGGUAAAGACCUGACUAGCCUACGACGGAUAUGGGUUGUGAGAGCAAUAGCCCAGAGACGAUAUCUGAGACACGAUAUCGGGCCCUACGGGGCGCAGCAGGCGCGAAAUCUUCACAAUGUGCGAAAGCACGAUGAGGGGAUCCCAAGUGCUGGCACGUAAGUGUCAGCUGUUUCUUAGUCUAAAAAACUGAGAGAGUAAGGGCUGGGUAAGACGGGUGCCAGCCGCCGCGGUAAUACCUGCAGCUCAAGUGGUGGCCGCUAUUAUUGGGCCUAAAACGUCCGUAGCCUGUUUAGUAAAUGCUUGGGUAAAUUGUGUAGCUUAACUAUACGAAUACCGGGUAGACUGCUAAACUUGGGACCGGGAGAGGCUAGAGGUACUCCUGGGGUAGAGGUGAAAUUCUGUAAUCCUAGGGGGACCACCAGUGGCGAAGGCGUCUAGCUAGAACGGGUCUGACGGUGAGGGACGAAGCCCUGGGGCGCAAACCGGAUUAGAUACCCGGGUAGUCCAGGGUGUAAACGCUGCUUGCUUGAUGUUAGUUGGGCUCCGAGCCCAACUAGUGUCGGAGAGAAGUUGUUAAGCAAGCUGCCUGGGAAGUACGGUCGCAAGACUGAAACUUAAAGGAAUUGGCGGGGGAGCACAGCAACGGGUGGAGCGUGCGGUUUAAUUGGAUUCAACGCCGGG